AUGGCUGUCGUCAGCUCGUGUCGUGAGAUGUUGGGUUAAGUCCCGCAACGAGCGUAACCCCUGUUGCUAGUUACCAGCGGAUAAUGCCGGGGACUCUAGCGAAACUGCCUGCGCAAGCAGUGAGGAAGGUGGGGAUGACGUCAAGUCAUCAUGGUCCUUACGCCUAGGGCUGCACACGUGCUACAAUGGCCGGUACAACGAGCAGCCACCUCGCGAGAGGGAGCGAAUCUCUGAAAACCGGUCCCAGUUCGGAUUGGAGUCUGCAACUCGACUCCAUGAAGCAGGAAUCGCUAGUAAUCGCGGAUCAGCAAUGCCGCGGUGAAUCCGUUCCCGGGCCUUGUACACACCGCCCGU
This 354-nucleotide ribosomal RNA is filed under the name uncultured bacterium. RNAcentral's name for it is "bacterial SSU rRNA". It matches the Rfam family "Bacterial small subunit ribosomal RNA", at positions 1045 to 1397 of the family's 1533-position model. The record is from RNAcentral.